GACGUAGGGCGCGAGCGUUGUCCGGAUUUAUUGGGCGUAAAGGGCUCGUAGGCGGUCUGUCGCGUCGGGAGUGAAAACUCAGGGCUUAACCCUGAGCCUGCUCCCGAUACAGGCAGACUAGAGGUAUGCAGGGGAGAACGGAAUUCCUGGUGUAGCGGUGAAAUGCGCAGAUAUCAGGAGGAACACCAAUAGCGAAGGCAGCUCGCUGGGACGGUACUGACGCUAAGGCGCGAAAGCGUGGGGAGCGAACAGG
Molecule: ribosomal RNA, 253 nt
Filed under: uncultured bacterium
Lineage: Bacteria
Description: partial 16S ribosomal RNA
Rfam family: Bacterial small subunit ribosomal RNA
Source: RNAcentral